Monopterus albus (swamp eel) is the source of this 1259-nucleotide RNA transcript. It is a transcript of the gene named membrane integral NOTCH2 associated receptor 2, with no coding region annotated. The record is from RefSeq and is a predicted model, not a curated record. The transcript is spliced from 6 exons. Lineage: Eukaryota; Metazoa; Chordata; Actinopteri; Synbranchiformes; Synbranchidae.
CAGUCAGGCUGGUUGGUGGUUCAUCUGAACAGCAUUCGCUGUUUUGUUCCUGUUUUACCUUCCUCAUUGUUAUCAUUCUCCAGUUUUGUUUGUCUCUUGCUUUCCCUAAGGACUCUACCCCUCGUGCCUCAUCUCUGGGCUUUUGGGCGUUGAUUAUUGAGACUCUCAUUCUCAACCUAUGGCCUGCUGAUUCUUCCCACAGAGCCCCAUCUCCGUGUGGCUCUGCUCUGCAGCUCCUGUGUAUGUCUGUGCCAUCUGCCAGCUGUCCUAAGAGCUUCUGAGCUGUAGUAAGCACGUUCAUCCAGACAGGCUGCCGGCAGAUAAUAUUCGGCGUUGAUGGCGCAACAGAACCAGGAUGGAUAUUUCUGUUUUGCCAAACAACAACCACCCAGAGAAGUUCCUUCAGUUGGAUGUUGGGACACUUCGAGCCACACAUGGCAUGUUCCAGAUUGGGACAGUCAUGUCUAGUCAAAGGCAAUGGCAGAACAGAAUUUACUCCCAGAGGGAGCAAAGGGUUAAGACUGACAACAGGCCUCCCCCAUCACCAGAAGGCACUCCUGCUGUAUUUAUCGACAGAUAUCUGGAGAAUCACAUUACAUCAGUGACUCUGAAGUCCAACAUUAAAAUGAAUCCUCUGUACGUGGACACAAGAGCAGUGGACACAGUGGACAAAGAGAAGUACAAGCCAUCCUGGACUGUGAAGGAGUAUGAUACACAAACAAUCCAUGGCAAUCUCGCAAAUUAUUUAAAGAUCUCAAUCCAACUGAGCAUCUGUGGGAUGUGCUGGAAAACCAAGUUAAAUCCAUGGAGGCCCCAUCUUGGAUCUGCUGCUGAUGUCUUGAUGUUGGAUAUCGGAAGACACUUUCAGAGCUCUGGUGGCGUCUUUGCCUUGACAGGCCAGAGCUGCUUUGGCAGCAUGAGGAGACCUACACAAUAGGUGGUUUUAAAGCUGAGGAAGUGAAGACUCCCCAAGAUCUGGACUUUUGGCUUGAGGAUCUCUACACACCAGGAUUCGAUUCUUUACUGAAAAAGAAAGAAGCAGAACAUAAAAGAAAACAACUUUGUAAAAUAAUUUUUUCAAUCAUUUUGUCUGUUUGUGCGGUACUUAUUGUUAUCAUAGUGCCAAUUGUGGUUAAACAACAGAAAAACUGAUUGGUAAGGACAGUUAUUAUAUAGUACAACUUAGUGUAACUUAGCUCUUUGUAAGCGGUGGUCAUAUUUUCCUGUUCUUGUUUCAUUUUAAUAAAGAACCAGCUAGA